This 1037-nucleotide long non-coding RNA is filed under the name Homo sapiens (human). Its description in RNAcentral is "non-protein coding lnc-RAB30-6:1". Lineage: Eukaryota; Metazoa; Chordata; Mammalia; Primates; Hominidae. The record is from RNAcentral.
CUCCCGCCUGCCCCGUAGCUGCUACCGACGGUGGGGGUUGGAGGGAGCGGGGGUUGGAGGGAGCGGAGGCUUUCUGCCGCCGCACCCCCUCUCCCUUAGCGUCUCAGGUGCUCUGGAGAGCCAGGGCGGGUCCAGCUGCCCCUCUGGGAACUGGGAAGUGGGAGGGAGGUGCCCAAUUUACCCGGAACUUCGGAAAGCACUGCUGGAGAGUUUCUUCCAGCACGCCGCUUCCCACACCCACAAAAAUACCUAGGCGAGCUUGCCUGACUUGAAUCCCCAGGAAAAUGCCUUUUAUUUAGAGAUUAAGUGUGAAAGGCUUUUUCCUUGGGGGUUUGGAGGAGCUCUUUAAGGAGCCCACUAUGAGCUCUAGGAAGAGUUUUUCACAACAGCCACACCCAGCUGGACCGUAAUAUCUCCACUGUGAAUCUGCAUUUCAGAACCUCCUUAGCAUACACUAUUUGGGGCACGUAGGAAAACACACACGCGCAUGCACUUUUGUUUUAAACUUGUGGGGCUGUCUUCCCAGGUUGGAAAUGAUGCUCGUAAAACACACAAAGCUUUCAAAUAGUUCACCGUGGAGCUGCGACAUAACACAAACCAAACGUAAUUUUUUCAUUGAGUAGCGAUAUUGACCUAAAUAUAAGCUUUUAAAAUGUGUCAAUUACGGGCUGGGCGCGGUGGCUCACGCCUGUAAUCCCAGCACUUUGGGAGGCCGAGGCGGGCGGAUCACGAGAUCAAGAGAUCGAGACCACCCUGGCCAACAUGGUGAAACCCCGUCUCUACUAAAAAUACAAAAAUUAGCUGGGCGUGGUGGCGUGCGCCUAUAGUAGUCCCAGCUACUCGGGAGGCAGAGGCAGGAGAACCGCUUGAACCCGGGAGGUGGAGGUUGCAGUGAGCCGAGAUCACGCCACUGUACUCCAGGCUGGUGACAGCGAGAGUCUGUCUCAAAAAAAAAAAAGUGUCAAUUACCUAAAAUUGCUUUUCCAUUGCCUUCCGUAGGCUACUAGGCAUUUGAGAGAUAAUUUGUUGCUCCCCAG